RNA transcript from Carya illinoinensis, 1597 nucleotides. It is a transcript of the gene named DCN1-like protein 5, with no coding region annotated. The record is from RefSeq and is a predicted model, not a curated record. NCBI's taxonomy places the organism in Eukaryota, Viridiplantae, Streptophyta, Magnoliopsida, Fagales, Juglandaceae. The transcript is spliced from 10 exons.
AAAAAAAAAAAAAAAAAAAAAGAAGAAGAAGUUUCGGGUAGGCUUAUAAUGGAAAUCCACUGCGAACAAACACUAUAGAAAUCCAGUGCUCAGGAAAAAGCUUCUUUUUUGUUUUAUCUUCUCCGUACUUAGCAAUCCAAACACAAUAGAAAUCGCUGCAGAACCUUCUCUUUCCCACUUGCUUUCUCUCUACAUGUUCGAUUAGGGUUUCUGACUAUUGUGGUGUCAGAUUGGGUCAUUCACUCCCACGGUUGUAAUUUGUCUGUGAGAGCCUACGAGAAUGCCUCGCACAUCCAAAAGAAAAGCGGCCCCACCAUCCGUCAAAUCGUCUGAUGCCGUUCCUGUUCGUCCCGGUAAAGCUAUAUCAAAAACGGUGGAACAGAUCGAUCGCCUAUUUGAUUCAUAUGCAAACCCAUCCUUAGGCUUGAUUGAUCCAGAAGGAAUUGAAACACUUUGUUCUGAUGUGGGAGUGAACCAUACUGAUAUUAGGAUACUGAUGCUUGCUUGGAAAAUGAAUGCUGAAAAACAGGGCUAUUUUUCAAAGGAUGAAUGGCGAACAGGACUAAAAGCUCUAAAGGCUGACAGUCUAAAUAAAUUAAAGAAAGCACUCCCAGCACUUGAGACACAGGUGAUGAUGCCACCAAACUUUCAAGAUUUCUAUGCUUACGCAUUUCGAUACUGCCUUACAGAAGAAAAGCAAAAGUGUGUAGACAUCGAGACAAUCUGUGAAUUGCUGAAUCUUGUUCUUGGUUCCCAAUUCCAUGCCCAGGUUAAUUCAAUGAGCGAGUAUCUAAAGUUCCAGAGUGAGUACCGGAUGCUAAAUAUGGAUCAGUGGAUGAACUUCUAUCGUUUUUGCCAUGAGGUAUAAACCUUUUUUAUAACCCCUACGGGUUGGCUGAAGUGGUAAAGGUCUUGGGCCUGGGGGUAUGCUCCCCUUAGGUCUACGGCUCAAAUCUCCUAGGGUGCAAAUGAUCUCUAGGGGCCAUUGGACUGGGGGAUUUUCUCCUUGAAUUACCCGAUGUGUACUUGCAGGAAACUCUUUGCCGAUAGCCUAUGCACCCCUAGGAUUAGUUGGAAUGCUGUUCCUGAACACCCGGUGCCAAUCAAAAAAUAAUCAACCCUUUUUAUUCUGGUGCUUUUAGAUACUGAACCCUUUGUCUUUGUUUUUUGGCAGAUAAGUUUUCCUGAUCUUCAAAACUAUGAUUCCAACCAAGCUUGGCCCUUGAUUCUUGAUGGAUUUGUUGAAUGGAUGAGAGAAAAGCAAUGCUAAUUUCAGCACCGUUGAUUAUAUAGAGCACUGGGGUGGAUGUUGCAAAAUUUGAUUCUGAACUAACAAACCGAUGGUAUGAUACCUACAACAUCAAAUGAAGCCGCUUCCCACAAAGUUGCACUGUUGUGAUAUACUCUGGAGAUUCUUCAGGCAUUUAUAUUACAUUGUUCAAGUUUUGCAGUCUCGUUUCUGUAACAUCUAUAUUUUACUGUCAUAUUUUUUUUUCCCUUGAUGCUGUUGACUGGGCUAUAAUUUUUUAGUUGGACAUGAGCUAUACACGAUUUCAGAAGAGUGAUUCAAUUAAAAAGGGCUAACCUUCUCGGCUAA